UAUUGGCUUUAUUGUAUUGUGGAAAUGUAUUACCAACAGAGGUGCAGGUGCCAGCCUAUUGAAAUAAAGCGUCAAUGAGGGUGAGAAUCCUGUUUGUCAUGUGCAGCCCUUUGUGCACGGUGUAUAUUUGCUGAGUCACACUCCUUGGCAUUGGAAUGCAAAGUGGGUGGUAAGUUUCAUGUAAAGGUAAACAUGCAAUUGAGACUGAUAGCACACAAGUACCAUGAGGGAAAUAUGAAAAGGACUUUGAUUGUAUUUGCUGAACACAAAGUAAACAGACUUGAUUUGCUUGGUGGGAGUGUUGCACUUGCUUGACAAGAGCUUUGGGCUGUGGGUGUAAUGAUUCUUUCUUUGCAUGCCAGUUUCUAUUUGUACAUCUGAUUACCUUUGCACAUGAAUGAUAAGUCUCCUGUGGGGGGUGGAUUGCAUGUGCAUGUAAUGAUUUGUGUUUUGAUAAAUGUGUCUGGUGUAUGUGUGUGUUCCUGUGCGAUGCUUCCUUCCUCUUACAAGCCCUGACACACACAUGCUGGCAGCUUCUGCUUGACCCGCUUGAAACACGGACCAGGAGUCUAACAGAUGUGCACA
Molecule: ribosomal RNA, 585 nt
Filed under: Alexandrium catenella
Lineage: Eukaryota; Dinophyceae; Gonyaulacales; Pyrocystaceae
Description: partial large subunit ribosomal RNA
Rfam family: Eukaryotic large subunit ribosomal RNA
Source: RNAcentral